GACGAACGCUGGCGGCGUGCUUAACACAUGCAAGUCGAACGAAGAGCGACGGAAGCUUGCUUCUAUCAAUCUUAGUGGCGAACGGGUGAGUAACGCGUAAUCAACCUGCCCUUCAGAGGGGGACAACAGUUGGAAACGACUGCUAAUACCGCAUACGAUCUAACCUCGGCAUCGAGGAUAGAUGAAAGGUGGCCUCUACAUGUAAGCUAUCACUGAAGGAGGGGAUUGCGACUGAUUAGCUAGUUGGAGGGGUAACGGCCCACCAAGGCGAUGAUCAGUAGCCGGUCUGAGAGGAUGAACGGCCACAUUGGGACUGAGACACGGCCCAGACUCCUACGGGAGGCAGCAGUGGGGAAUCUUCCGCAAUGGACGAAAGUCUGACGGAGCAACGCCGCGUGAGUGAUGACGGCCUUCGGGUUGUAAAGCUCUGUUAAUCGGGACGAAAGGCCUUCUUGCGAAUAGUGAGAAGGAUUGACGGUACCGGAAUAGAAAGCCACGGCUAACUACGUG
This 510-nucleotide ribosomal RNA is filed under the name uncultured bacterium. RNAcentral describes it as "partial 16S ribosomal RNA". It matches the Rfam family "Bacterial small subunit ribosomal RNA", at positions 28 to 507 of the family's 1533-position model. The record is from RNAcentral.